Molecule: ribosomal RNA, 484 nt
Filed under: uncultured bacterium
Lineage: Bacteria
Description: partial 16S ribosomal RNA
Rfam family: Bacterial small subunit ribosomal RNA
Source: RNAcentral
AUUGAACGCUGGCGGCAGGCCUAACACAUGCCAGUCGAGCGGAUGAAGGGAGCUUGCUCCUGGAUUCAGCGGCGGACGGGUGAGUAAUGCCUAGGAAUCUGCCUGGUAGUGGGGGAUAACGUCCGGAAACGGGCGCUAAUACCGCAUACGUCCUGAGGGGGAACGUGGGGGAUCUUCGGACCUCACGCUAUCAGAUGAGCCUAGGUCGGAUUAGCUAGUUGGUGGGGUAAAGGCCUACCAAGGCGACGAUCCGUAACUGGUCUGAGAGGAUGAUCAGUCACACUGGAACUGAGACACGGUCCAGACUCCUACGGGAGGCAGCAGUGGGGAAUAUUGGACAAUGGGCGAAAGCCUGAUCCAGCCAUGCCGCGUGUGUGAAGAAGGUCUUCGGAUUGUAAAGCACUUUAAGUUGGGAGGAAGGGCAGUAAGUUAAUACCUUGCUGUUUUGACGGUACCAACAGAAUAAGCACCGGCUAACUUCGUG